Molecule: ribosomal RNA, 253 nt
Filed under: uncultured bacterium
Lineage: Bacteria
Description: partial 16S ribosomal RNA
Rfam family: Bacterial small subunit ribosomal RNA
Source: RNAcentral
GACAGAGGGUGCAAACGUUGUUCGGAAUUACUGGGCGUAAAGCGCGUGUAGGCGGCUCGGAAAGUCGGGUGUGAAAGCCCUGGGCUCAACCCAGGAAGUGCACUCGAAACUUCCAAGCUUGAGUUUUGGAGAGGAAGGCGGAAUUCUCGGUGUAGAGGUGAAAUUCGUAGAUAUCGAGAGGAACACCGGUGGCGAAGGCGGCCUUCUGGACAGUGACUGACGCUGAGACGCGAAAGCGUGGGGAGCGAACAGG